Molecule: ribosomal RNA, 252 nt
Filed under: Triticum aestivum (bread wheat)
Lineage: Eukaryota; Viridiplantae; Streptophyta; Magnoliopsida; Poales; Poaceae
Description: partial small subunit ribosomal RNA
Source: RNAcentral
AUGACGAAUUUUGGGGGAGUGCGACAUGCAGUCGACUACAUGUACGAUUUCAUAGCACUUUCCUUAGACGAAGAACAACUAGACACAAUCUGCAUUAGGAGCUCGCGCCCAUUCCCUAUCGAGAUUAGCCUACGGAUCAUCCAAGACACCAUCCGAGGAGAUGGACUUGUCCAUCCGUUAUGCUUCAAUCUUGAUGUGCGUAAGAUUACUACCUUCGUAGCAGAGAGGAGCGCAGGCACCAACUCUGUUUGA